Molecule: ribosomal RNA, 194 nt
Filed under: uncultured bacterium
Lineage: Bacteria
Description: partial 16S ribosomal RNA
Rfam family: Bacterial small subunit ribosomal RNA
Source: RNAcentral
AACUCGACUACAUGAAGCUGGAAUCGCUAGUAAUUGCGAAUCAGAAUGUCGCGGUGAAUACGUUCCCGGGUCUUGUACACACCGCCCGUCACACCAUGGGAGUUGGCGACGCCCGAAGUCAGUGACCCAACCUUAACAGGAGGGAGCUGCCGAAGGCGGGGCUGAUAACUGGGGUGAAGUCGUAACAAGGUAUC